RNAcentral lists this ribosomal RNA (274 nucleotides) under uncultured bacterium. RNAcentral's name for it is "partial 16S ribosomal RNA". It matches the Rfam family "Bacterial small subunit ribosomal RNA", at positions 28 to 334 of the family's 1533-position model. The record is from RNAcentral.
GAUGAAUGCUGGCGGCGUGGAUGAGGCAUGCAAGUCGAAUGAAUUUAGAUUCAUGGCAGACGAGGUAGGAACACGUAGGUACGUACCCAAGAGUCAGGGAUAACCCGGUGAAAAUCGGAAUAAUACUUGAUAGUCCCUUCGGGGUAAAGAUUUAUCGCUCUUGGAACGGCCUGCGGUCUAUCAGCUUGAUGGUAAGGUAACGGCUUACCAUGGCUACGACGGAUAGGGGAGGUGAGAGCCUGACCCCCACCGAUGGAACUGCGACACGGUCCAU